UUGACAGUUCUGGAAGCUGAAGUCCUCUCUCUAGCCACAGAACACACACAGCAUAGGCAGCUGGAGACCCAGCUUCCCCACAGUGCCCUUCAGGUGUGCCUUCGCCCUGUUCUGGAGGAAAUGCCUUUAAGCAGUGGGAGGGUACUUCUGUCUUCAUUUCCAUUCAAUCUUCAGCACCU
Molecule: small RNA, 179 nt
Filed under: Chrysemys picta bellii (western painted turtle)
Lineage: Eukaryota; Metazoa; Chordata; Testudines; Emydidae
Description: TUC338 (ENSCPBG00000016140.1)
Source: RNAcentral